UCAGUGCCAGUCAGGGCACACAUAAGAAUCAAUCGAUGAAUGCAUAAAUAAGUGGAACAACAAAUCAAUAUUUCUCUUUCUUUUUUUUCUCCCUCUCUCUUUCUA
Phyllostomus discolor (pale spear-nosed bat) is the source of this 105-nucleotide long non-coding RNA. RefSeq lists it as uncharacterized. The record is from RefSeq and is a predicted model, not a curated record. NCBI's taxonomy places the organism in Eukaryota, Metazoa, Chordata, Mammalia, Chiroptera, Phyllostomidae. The transcript has 3 exons.